Molecule: ribosomal RNA, 406 nt
Filed under: uncultured bacterium
Lineage: Bacteria
Description: partial 16S ribosomal RNA
Rfam family: Bacterial small subunit ribosomal RNA
Source: RNAcentral
AUUGAACGCUGGCGGCAGGCCUAACACAUGCAAGUCGAACGAGUGGCGGACGGGUGAGUAAUGUCUGGGAAACUGCCCGAUGGAGGGGGAUAACUACUGGAAACGGUAGCUAAUACCGCAUACCAUCGGAUGUGCCCAGAUGGGUUUAGCUUGUAGGUGAGGUAACGGCUCACCUAGGCGACGAUCCCUAGCUGGUCUGAGAGGAUGACCGGAAAAUCUUGAACUAAGACACGGUCCAGACUCCUACGGGAGGGAGCAGUGUGGAAUAUUGCGCCAUGGGCGCAUGCCUGAUGCAGCCAUGCCGCGUGGAUGAAGAAGGCAUUCUGGGUGUAAAGUACUUUCAGCGGGGAGGCGUUACCCGCAGAAGAAGCACCGGCUAACUCCGUGCCAGCAGCCGCGGUAAUAC